ACGACUACAUAUCAGGCAUAUCAAUAAGCGGAGGAAAAGAAACUAACUAGGAUUCCCUCAGUAACGGCGAGUGAAAGCGGGAAGAGCUCAAAUUUGAAAUCUUAAAGGGUUCUACCUUGACGAAUUGUAGUUUAAAGAAGUGUUUUCUGUUGAAGUUUCGGUGAAAGUUCUCUGGAAUAGGACAUCAUAGAGGGUGAGAAUCCCGUAUUUGACCGUUACUUUCCAGCUGUGUGAUACACUUUCAAAGAGUCGGAUUGUUUGGGAAUGCAGUCCAAGAUGGGUGGUAAAUUUCAUCUAAAGCUAAAUAUUGGCGAGAGACCGAUAGCGAACAAGUACCGCGAGGGAAAGAUGAAAAGAACUUUGAAAAGAGAGUUAAACAGUACGUGAAAUUGUCAAAAGGGAAGCGUUUGACACCAGUGUUGUUUAGUUGAAAAUCAAUUCAAUAGUUUUUGAUUCUAAGUAGUAUUGACUUCAUCAGCUUGCUGCUUUCUUCUCAGAAAUUAUUGAAUGCACUUUUCAGUUAACAAGUCAACAUCAAUUUCUUUUGUUGUAAAAGGGUAAGAGGAAGGUGGCUUGCGCUUCGGCUCAAGUGUUUAUAGCCUUUUAUCUCUGCAAUCGGAGAGAUUGAGGUCUGCAGCGUAGAUCCUUCGGGGUUAGAUACAUUGGUGCUAAGCUAUAGCUUUUCAUAGACAACUUGUUGACUAUGUUUAGUCAUGUGGCUUACCCGCUGGCGCUAUUUUACCUACGCUUAGGAUGUUGAGCGCAUGUCUCUCUCU
This 776-nucleotide ribosomal RNA is filed under the name uncultured Neocallimastigales. RNAcentral's name for it is "partial large subunit ribosomal RNA". It matches the Rfam family "Eukaryotic large subunit ribosomal RNA", at positions 24 to 616 of the family's 3401-position model. The record is from RNAcentral. Lineage: Eukaryota; Fungi; Neocallimastigomycota; Neocallimastigomycetes; Neocallimastigales.